This is a long non-coding RNA of Hordeum vulgare subsp. vulgare (domesticated barley), 977 nucleotides long. RefSeq lists it as uncharacterized. The record is from RefSeq and is a predicted model, not a curated record. The transcript has 3 exons. Lineage: Eukaryota; Viridiplantae; Streptophyta; Magnoliopsida; Poales; Poaceae.
UCUCGCCGCAAUUCGACCGGAGCCCUCUCUCUGCUCACCUCCGGCAGCACCACCCGCCGCCAUCCCCCUGGCACAUUUGGCUAGUCCAAAGCCUCCCCCUCCUUCCAAGAGCCCUCCUCUAGCCCCUACUACACCGAGGGAUCCAUUCCUACCCCCAAUUUGUCUCAGGAACCACCGACAACAAAGCCCCUCUCCCGUGUGACAACGUCAUCCGCCAUGGCUGAAGCCCUGCCUUGCUCUGAGUCUUCCAGAGGUCCUCCCCAGUUCCCUGAGAUGCGACACGUUCCCUUGAGCUUGCCGGCAUGUCGAGCUCCACAGAUGACACCCUCUAGCACCGGCAAUCUUCACCGUACUCACCUCUCGCCACGACGCGGGAGGAACGGGCAGAACCCGACAGGUGGUCCCCACCUGUCGGUAAGAGGGAGUCGUUGCUCCUAUGGCGCCACCCUGCUGGUGUGUCUUCCCUGCAGAGUUCCGCAAGCGUGUCGAAAGGUGAGGAUUCGUUUGACUAUGUUGGUUCAUCUUCUUGACGGAUUCGUUCUUCUUCCAUGCGGGAUCACAGGAUCACGCUGGUAUUUUGGAACCUCUACGACGACGUUGUGAACGGGAUUCUGUUCUUGGUGCCGCUAGUUUCGAGGAGUUGAGCCCAAGGGGAUUCUUGUCACACUCGGUAUCAUUCAGUUUCCUUAGUAUCUCAGGAUGGAGGAUGUUCGAAAUUCUUCAAUCCUUGUAGUGGUGAGAGGAGUCUCGCAUCCACAGUACUGGUGGAGAGCGUUUGGAUGUACUGCCAUACUUGGUAUCAUUGUGAUUACGAGGGUCUAAGGUAUAUGAGUUUCCGAGAGCUCUGGUUAUGUGUUGACGAAUGUGAUACAAUGGACGGGUAGUGUUAUUGCUAGGAGUUGAGUGGUCAACUUUACUCCUUCUAUCUGUGGACUCGAUUAAAUAACUGGAAAAUCUCGGGAGUUCUUACUUGCGAA